Oncorhynchus masou masou (cherry salmon) is the source of this 283-nucleotide long non-coding RNA. RefSeq lists it as uncharacterized. Lineage: Eukaryota; Metazoa; Chordata; Actinopteri; Salmoniformes; Salmonidae. The record is from RefSeq and is a predicted model, not a curated record. The transcript is spliced from 3 exons.
GAGAGGCUGGACCACAGACAUGUUAACCUCGACGACCAUAUCCGGGCAAUAGCCAGUAGCUCAGACGGAAUGCUGUCGUUGAGAGAUCUAAAGAAGAUACUGGAUGACAGCUGGAUCACCUUGGAUGAGAAGCAGUUCCACAAGCUCAACAUAUCGCUUGGUUUCAAAGACGGAAAAAUGUCCUGUUCGGCUUUCCUGGAUAAGUAUGAUGAGCACCAGGCCAGAGAGCAGAACCAGGCCUCGGGGGGUAACCAUGGUAACCUGCGGGCUAAGCCACGCCUCC